GACGAACGCUGGCGGCGUGCUUAACACAUGCAAGUCGAACGGAAAGGCCCCUUUGGGGGUACUCGAGUGGCGAACGGGUGAGUAACACGUGAGUAACCUGCCCUUGACUUCGGGAUAACUUCAGGAAACUGGGGCUAAUACCGGCUAGGAAUCCUUGCUGCAUGGUGGGGGUUGGAAAGCUUCGGCGGUUUUGGAUGGACUCGCGGCUUAUCAGCUUGUUGGUGGGGUAGUGGCUUACCAAGGCUUUGACGGGUAGCCGGCCUGAGAGGGCGACCGGCCACAUUGGGACUGAGAUACGGCCCAGACGCCUACGGGAGGCAGCAGUGGGGAAUAUUGCACAAUGGGCGGAAGCCUGAUGCAGCAACGCCGCGGGCGGGAUGACGGCCUUCGGGUUGUAAACCGCUUUCAGCAGGGGCGAAGCUUGUGGUGACGGUACCUGCAGAAGAAGCACCGGCUAACUACGUG
Molecule: ribosomal RNA, 465 nt
Filed under: uncultured bacterium
Lineage: Bacteria
Description: partial 16S ribosomal RNA
Rfam family: Bacterial small subunit ribosomal RNA
Source: RNAcentral